GCGGAUAUGGUCGAAUGGUAAAAUUU
This 26-nucleotide transfer RNA is filed under the name Cyanocephalus tagetifolius. RNAcentral's name for it is "partial tRNA-Gly". The record is from RNAcentral. Lineage: Eukaryota; Viridiplantae; Streptophyta; Magnoliopsida; Lamiales; Lamiaceae.